CACGUGGGUAACCUGCCUGUAAGACUGGGAUAACUCCGGGAAACCGGGGCUAAUACCGGAUGCUUGUUUGAACCGCAUGGUUCAAACAUAAAAGGUGGCUUCGGCUACCACUUACAGAUGGACCCGCGGCGCAUUAGCUAGUUGGUGAGGUAAUGGCUCACCAAGGCAACGAUGCGUAGCCGACCUGAGAGGGUGAUCGGCCACACUGGGACUGAGACACGGCCCAGACUCCUACGGGAGGCAGCAGUAGGGAAUCUUCCGCAAUGGACGAAAGUCUGACGGAGCAACGCCGCGUGAGUGAUGAAGGUUUUCGGAUCGUAAAGCUCUGUUGUUAGGGAAGAACAAGUACCGUUCGAAUAGGGCGGUACCUUGACGGUACCUAACCAGAAAGCCACGGCUAACUACGUGCCAGCAGCCGCGGUAAUACGUAGGUGGCAAGCGUUGUCCGGAAUUAUUGGGCGUAAAGGGCUCGCAGGCGGUUUCUUAAGUCUGAUGUGAAAGCCCCCGGCUCAACCGGGGAGGGUCAUUGGAAACUGGGGAACUUGAGUGCAGAAGAGGAGAGUGGAAUUCCACGUGUAGCGGUGAAAUGCGUAGAGAUGUGGAGGAACACCAGUGGCGAAGGCGACUCUCUGGUCUGUAACUGACGCUGAGGAGCGAAAGCGUGGGGAGCGAACAGGAUUAGAUACCCUGGUAGUCCACGCCGUAAACGAUGAGUGCUAAGUGUUAGGGGGUUUCCGCCCCUUAGUGCUGCAGCUAACGCAUUAAGCACUCCGCCUGGGGAGUACGGUCGCAAGACUGAAACUCAAAGGAAUUGACGGGGGCCCGCACAAGCGGUGGAGCAUGUGGUUUAAUUCGAAGCAACGCGAAGAACCUUACCAGGUCUUGACAUCCUCUGACAAUCCUAGAGAUAGGACGUCCCCUUCGGGGGCAGAGUGACAGGUGGUGCAUGGUUGUCGUCAGCUCGUGUCGUGAGAUGUUGGGUUAAGUCCCGCAACGAGCGCAACCCUUGAUCUUAGUUGCCAGCAUUCAGUUGGGCACUCUAAGGUGACUGCCGGUGACAAACCGGAGGAAGGUGGGGAUGACGUCAAAUCAUCAUGCCCCUUAUGACCUGGGCUACACACGUGCUACAAUGGACAGAACAAAGGGCAGCGAAACCGCGAGGUUAAGCCAAUCCCACAAAUCUGUUCUCAGUUCGGAUCGCAGUCUGCAACUCGACUGCGUGAAGCUGGAAUCGCUAGUAAUCGCGGAUCAGCAUGCCGCGG
This 1262-nucleotide ribosomal RNA is filed under the name Bacillus subtilis. RNAcentral describes it as "bacterial SSU rRNA". It matches the Rfam family "Bacterial small subunit ribosomal RNA", at positions 114 to 1362 of the family's 1533-position model. Lineage: Bacteria; Bacillati; Bacillota; Bacilli; Caryophanales; Bacillaceae. The record is from RNAcentral.